CCCUUAGAUGUUCGGGGCCGCACGCGCGCUACACUGAAGGAAUCAGCACGUCUUUCUCCUUGUCCGAAAGGACUGGGUAACCCGCUGAACCUCCUUCGUGCUAGGGAUUGGGGCUUGUAAUUCUUCCCCAUGAACGAGGAAUUCCCAGUAGCGCGAGUCAUAAGCUCGCGUUGAUUACGUCCCUGCCCUUUGUACACACCGCCCGUCGCUACUACCGAUUGGAUGGUUUAGUGAGAUCCUCGGAUUGGUCCCGGAGCGGCCUCUGGUCGUGCCGGAGUGCCGAAAAGAAUGUCGAACUUGAUCAUCUAGAGGAAGUAAAAGUCGUAACA
RNAcentral lists this ribosomal RNA (329 nucleotides) under uncultured eukaryote. Its description in RNAcentral is "partial 18S ribosomal RNA". It matches the Rfam family "Eukaryotic small subunit ribosomal RNA", at positions 1470 to 1796 of the family's 1831-position model. The record is from RNAcentral.